CUAGCAUAUCAAUAAGCGGAGGAAAAGAAACCAACAGGGAUUGCCUCAGUAACGGCGAGUGAAGCGGCAACAGCUCAAAUUUGAAAUCUGGCCCCCCGGGUCCGAGUUGUAAUUUGCAGAGGAUGCUUUUGGCGCGGUGCCUUCCGAGUUCCCUGGAACGGGACGCCAUAGAGGGUGAGAGCCCCGUACGGUUGGACACCAAGCCUGUGUAAAGCUCCUUCGACGAGUCGAGUAGUUUGGGAAUGCUGCUCAAAAUGGGAGGUAUAUUUCUUCUAAAGCUAAAUACCGGCCAGAGACCGAUAGCGCACAAGUAGAGUGAUCGAAAGAUGAAAAGCACUUUGAAAAGAGGGUUAAACAGCACGUGAAAUUGUUAAAAGGGAAGCGCUUGUGACCAGACUUGCGCCCGGUGAAUCACCCAGCUCUCGCGGCUGGGGCACUUUGCCGGCUCAGGCCAGCAUCAGCUCGCCGUCGGGGACAAAAGCUUCGGGAACGUAGCUCUCUUCGGGGAGUGUUAUAGCCCGCUGCACAAUACCCUUCGGCGGGCUGAGGUACGCGCUCCGCAAGGAUGCUGGCGUAAUGGUCAUCAGCGACCCGUCUUGAAACACGGACCAAGGAGUCAACCUUAUGUGCGAGUGUUCGGGUGUCAAACCCCUACGCGAAAUGAAAGUGAACGCAGGUGAGAGCUUCGGCGCAUCAUCGACCGAUCCUGAUGUUCUCGGAUGGAUUUGAGUAAGAGCAUAUAGGGUUGGACCCGAAAGAAGGUGAACUAUGCGUGUAUAGGGUGAAGCCAGAGGAAACUCUGGUGGAGGCUCGCAGCGGUUCUGACGUGCAAAUCGAUCGUCAAAUAUGCGCAUGGGGGCGAAAGACUAAUCGAACCUUCUAGUAGCUGGUUUCCG
Molecule: ribosomal RNA, 896 nt
Filed under: Colletotrichum hippeastri
Lineage: Eukaryota; Fungi; Ascomycota; Sordariomycetes; Glomerellales; Glomerellaceae
Description: LSU rRNA
Rfam family: Eukaryotic large subunit ribosomal RNA
Source: RNAcentral